This 182-nucleotide ribosomal RNA is filed under the name Blautia intestinalis. RNAcentral's name for it is "partial 23S ribosomal RNA". It matches the Rfam family "Bacterial large subunit ribosomal RNA", at positions 2745 to 2925 of the family's 2925-position model. The record is from RNAcentral. Lineage: Bacteria; Bacillati; Bacillota; Clostridia; Lachnospirales; Lachnospiraceae.
GUAGCCAAGCCCGGAAGGGAUAAACGCUGAAGGCAUCUAAGCGUGAAGCCCCCCUCAAGAUGAGAUAUCCCAUCCGAAAGGAGUAAACCCCCUUGAAGACGACGAGGUUGAUAGGGCAGAGGUGGAAGUGUGGUAACACAUGGAGCUGACUGCUACUAAUAGGGUGAGGGCUUGACCAAAAA